Molecule: long non-coding RNA, 976 nt
Filed under: Mytilus galloprovincialis (Mediterranean mussel)
Lineage: Eukaryota; Metazoa; Mollusca; Bivalvia; Mytilida; Mytilidae
Source: RNAcentral
CACUGGACAAUGUUGCCAGCAGUUCGCAUUAAUGAAUGUUUCCAAUUUUUACACAGAUUUGUUUUAAGGAUAUAAUGAGGGGAAAUUAAUUAAAUCAAGAAGGUAAAAUUGAUACUAUAAGCUCGAAAAAGCCUUAAAGUGUUAUAUGAGAAUAUAAAUGGGUGUUAUGGGACAAUAUAUUUUACCUUGUAUGGUAGGAAAAACACCAAGUAGUCCGAACAUCUGACACAAAUUCUUAAAUAGAUAUAGGAAGAUGUGGUGUGAGUUCCAAUGAGACAACUCUCCAUCCAAAUAACAAUUUAAAAAAAGUAAACCAUUAUAGGUCAGUGUACAGCCUUCAACACGGAGCCUUGGCUCACACCGAACAACAAGCUAUAAAGGACCCCAAGAUUACUAGUGUAAAACCAUUCAAACGGGAAAACCAACGGUCUAAUCUAUAUAUAAAAAAACGAGAAACGAGAAACACGUAUAACUUACAUAAACAAACGACAACUACUGUAUAUCAGAUUCCUGACUUAGGGCAGGUGCAAACAUUUGCAGCGGGAUUAAACGUUUUAAUGGAUCCAAACCUUCUCCCUUUUUCUGAAACAAUAGCAUAAAAUCACAACAUAGAAAAACGCACGAUAAAAUAUCAAUUGGCAGGCUUAACUCAAUCAAAAAACGUACAUUAAUACAUUAUAAACAAAUAAAUUUGAUCUGCGAUAUCUGAAUGCAAAUGCACAGUUAAAAAAUAUUAGGGACAAACAUUCAAGGCCAAAAAGCAAACAAACAAGUCCAAACAAAGCCAUGUCAAGACACCACUGCGAAAUAUUUAACCCUUCGAAAAUAUUCACUUUAGAAAAAAAACCGGUUUAAAAAAAAUAAAUAAUUUAAACCUCACUUAAAAAAUCAUAUAUGCAUUUACUUUCUUUAUUCCUUUAAUUGCAUAUAGUUUAGUUCCCUUAUCCUUAUAUGUUCAUUUAUCAUUUCCCAACGC